AGUCGAACGGGCAUCUUCGGAUGCUAGUGGCAGACGGGUGAGUAACACGUGGGAACGUACCUUUCGGUUCGGAAUAAUACAGGGAAACUUGUACUAAUACCGGAUACGCCCUUCGGGGGAAAGAUUUAUCGCCGAUAGAUCGGCCCGCGUCUGAUUAGCUAGUUGGUGAGGUAAUGGCUCACCAAGGCGACGAUCAGUAGCUGGUCUGAGAGGAUGAUCAGCCACACUGGGACUGAGACACGGCCCAGACUCCUACGGGAGGCAGCAGUGGGGAAUAUUGGACAAUGGGCGAAAGCCUGAUCCAGCCAUGCCGCGUGUGUGAUGAAGGCCUUAGGGUUGUAAAGCACUUUUGUCCGGGAAGAUAAUGACUGUACCGGAAGAAUAAGCCCCGGCU
RNAcentral lists this ribosomal RNA (394 nucleotides) under Afipia sp. R0L3. RNAcentral describes it as "bacterial SSU rRNA". It matches the Rfam family "Bacterial small subunit ribosomal RNA", at positions 60 to 498 of the family's 1533-position model. Lineage: Bacteria; Pseudomonadati; Pseudomonadota; Alphaproteobacteria; Hyphomicrobiales; Nitrobacteraceae. The record is from RNAcentral.